GUGUCUUAUUUCUUGGAGAUUUUCUUUUGGUUGAUCCACUGUUCUGUUCCUAACAUCCUCGUGCCAUUGGUUGUUUUGCCUGUUUCGUUUGAGCUCACGGUAGAAUGACAAGGUUUUUCUUUUUUUUUUUUGGGUGUUUUUUUGAGAAUAUUCGAAGCUGAAAAAUUGAUGUUUGAGGUUCUCAUUUAAUCUUGUUCUACAAUGUUCAGUCUGCUUAGAUGGUACAUUGCCCGGUUAUCAUCUUCACAAUGGCUCUGGAUCUGGUGCAAACAGUUGGGUGGUCCAUUUAGAGGGUGGGGGAUGGUGCAAUACAGUGACGAAUUGCGUUUACAGGAAAACUACUCGUCGUGGUUCAUCAAAGUUUGUGGACAAGGAAGUAGCUUUCACAGGAAUAUUGAGUAAUAAAGCUGAAGAAAACCCUGAUUUUUUCAAUUGGAACAGAGUAAGGAUACGGUACUGUGAUGGGGCUUCUGUCAAUGGAGCAGGCCAGGACGAGGUUG
Syzygium oleosum is the source of this 500-nucleotide long non-coding RNA. RefSeq lists it as uncharacterized. The transcript has 3 exons. The record is from RefSeq and is a predicted model, not a curated record. Lineage: Eukaryota; Viridiplantae; Streptophyta; Magnoliopsida; Myrtales; Myrtaceae.